This 74-nucleotide transfer RNA is filed under the name Eubacterium sp. AF22-8LB. It matches the Rfam family "tRNA". From Rfam's summary of the family: Transfer RNA (tRNA) molecules are approximately 80 nucleotides in length. Their secondary structure includes four short double-helical elements and three loops (D, anti-codon, and T loops). Further hydrogen bonds mediate the characteristic L-shaped molecular structure. tRNAs have two regions of fundamental functional importance: the anti-codon, which is responsible for specific mRNA codon recognition, and the 3' end, to which the tRNAs corresponding amino acid is attached (by aminoacyl-tRNA synthetases). tRNAs cope with the degeneracy of the genetic code in two manners: having more than one tRNA (with a specific anti-codon) for a particular amino acid; and 'wobble' base-pairing, i.e. permitting non-standard base-pairing at the 3rd anti-codon position. The record is from Rfam by way of RNAcentral. Lineage: Bacteria; Bacillati; Bacillota; Clostridia; Eubacteriales; Eubacteriaceae.
GCGCCUGUAGCUCAACUGGAUAGAGUAUCAGAUUCCGAUUCUGGCGGUUGCAGGUUCGAGCCCUGUCAGGCGCG